UGCACACGGGAGAUAACGCUGGCGAUAACACCUGCUAUCAAACUCACUCGGCAAAAAGGGACAAAACAGUCACUACUGGUAUGCUGUGCUACAGUGUGCGUGUCUUAAAAAAACCACACAUAUGUUCCAUUGUAUACCAAGUGCUUCAGUAAAUGAAAAUCACAUCUAAUACCCUGAGUGCCUCUCUUCAAUUAAGUAACCAUCUCACUCAGUUCUGACCCACUGCCUAUUGUGUUUCACACCCAAAUUUAAUACAUCCACGAACCCCUCCAUUUCA
Danio rerio (zebrafish) is the source of this 277-nucleotide non-coding RNA. Lineage: Eukaryota; Metazoa; Chordata; Actinopteri; Cypriniformes; Danionidae. The record is from Ensembl.